AGAGUUUGAUCCUGGCUCAGGACGAACUUUGGCGGCGCGCCUAAUACAUGCAAGUCGAACGGAGCCCUUAGGAGCUUGCUUUUCUAGAGUUAAUGACGAGACUGAGAGUAACACGGGAGUAACCUGCCCGGGAAAGCGGCACCACACUUGGAAACAACUGCUAAUACCGGAUGCUCCCACCAUCCGGCCUCACAUUAACGGAAAAGGAGUUGUUCACUUCUCGAUGGACUCGAGACCGAUUCGCUAUGGAGUGACGAAACGGCCCGCCAACGCCACAAUUGGGAGACGAACUGAGAGGUGGAACAGACGCUUAGCGACUGAGACGCGACCCAGACUCCUACGGGAGGCAGCAGUGGGGGAUAUUGCACAAUGGGGGAAACCCUGAUGCAGCGACGCCGCGUGGAGGAAGAAGGUUUUCGGUUUGUAAACUUCCUUUCGUCUAGGGAAGCUAAUGACGGUACCUAACAAGAAAGCACCGGCUAACUACGUGCCAGCAGCCGCGGUAAUACGUAGGGUGCAAGCGUUGUCCGGAAUUACUGGGUGUAAAGGGUGCGUAGGCGGAUUGGCAAGUCAGAAGUGAAAUCCAUGGGCUUAACCCAUGAACUGCUUUUGAAACUGUUCGUCUUGAGUGCAGUAGAGGUAGGCGGAAUUCCUGGUGUAGCGGUGAAAUGCGUAGAUAUUGGGAGGAACACCAGUGGCGAAGGCGGCUUACUGGGCUUUAACUGACGUUGAGGCUCGAAAGUGUGGGUAGCAAACAGGAUUAGAUACCCUGGUAGUCCACACCGUAAACGAUGAUUACUAGGUGUGGGGGGUCUAACCCCCUCCGUCCCCGAGCUUAACCCAAUAGGUAUAUCCCCCUGGGGGAGUACGUUCGCCAAGGUGGAAACUCAAAGAAAUGGCCGGGGCCCCCCCCAAGCAGUGGACUAUGUGUUUUAAUUCGAACCACCGGGAAGACCCUUCCCAGUUCUUACCUUCCGGAUGCUAUUUCUAGACAUUGCAUGCCAUUUGGGUCCUCCGAUACCAGGGGGGCCAUGGUGUUCUUCAGCUCGUUUCGGGGAGAUGUGGGGUAAAUUCCCCCAACGAGCCCAACCCCUUCUUUUAGUUCCCAUCAUUCAGAUUGGGCACUCUAGGGAGACUCCCGGUGAAUAACCCGGAGGAAGGGUGGGGAUGACGUCAAAUCAUCAUGCCCCUUAUGACCUGGGCUACACACGUGCUACAAUGGUGGGAACAACGAGAAGCGAGCCGGUGACGGCAAGCUAAUCUCUAAAAGCCAAUCUCAGUUCGGAUUGCAGUCUGCAACUCGCCUACAUGAAGUCGGAAUCGCUAGUAAUCGCGGAUCAGAAUGCCGCGGUGAAUACGUUCCCGGGUCUUGCACACACCGCCCGUCA
RNAcentral lists this ribosomal RNA (1388 nucleotides) under uncultured bacterium. RNAcentral's name for it is "16S ribosomal RNA". It matches the Rfam family "Bacterial small subunit ribosomal RNA". The record is from RNAcentral.